UCCAAGCAGCAAUCAGAACGGCUAAUGACCAUCUGCUGCCAGAGCCUUGUCGGGAAUGCUACUGAACAUUCAUUACCACGAGUCUUCCGGGCUACAUUGAACCAGCUUCUGUAGAAGAGAGUUAGUUCUCUGAACCUUCAGAUUCUGAACACCAGAACCCUACAGCUUCUAAUUAGCUUCACAAUUGGAAUACAGGCAUGACAUUUGCAUUUGAAGUUUGGGGACCAAGGACCAUUAGCAAUUCAGCAGAAGCAAUGUUUGGAACAGGGUCAGUUCUGACUUUCAUGGCCAUGAAGAAAUGAUGGCAGAAGAAGAAGAAGAAAGCACCCCGCCACUCCCUGGCAUGCUGCUGUGUUGUGUGAAGGGCAGCAAUAUGGACAGGCCUCACAUUCUACCAGAAAUCAAAGCAGCACCAUGAAAAACAUGGAUAUGACACCAAAGAUUGCAAGUAUCUUCAUUUGUUUCACAUCCUAGAAGCUAUCAUCAACCAUGAGAAGAAUUUACCAGUCUGGGGUGAUGACGCCACAUGAGGUCCUGAGUUCACAUCUCCAGCACUCAUUUCAAAGAGCUGGUCAUGAUUGUCCAUGUGCCUACGCCUCCAGAACUAGGUGGGACAGGGGCAAGAGGAUCUCUGAGAUCCACUGACUUUCUCUGUGUUAAUGAGAGACCCUGCAUUAUGGGGUAAAGGGAAAAGGGGCAGAGCAGAAAACCUGUAUCUUUCUCCAGCCUCUGUGUAGACAUGGGCUCGUGUCUCCUCCACAAACAUGCUUUUACACACACACACACACACACACACACACACACACACACUUCUUCAGUGUUCUAUCUACCAGCUGAAUGAAAUACUUCUUUAUUUUCACUAUUAUGUUCAUCUGAUGUGGGAUUCCCCUCUGUACGCUGUGAAUAUCAUUUGUUAAUAAAAGAACUGCUUUAGGCCUAUAGCAAUGCUAUAGGGAACAGAGCUAGACAGGGAAAACUAAGCUGAAUGCUUGGAGGAAGGAGGUGGAGUCUGAAAGAAAUCAUGUAGCCCUGCUGGAGCCAGACAGAACUUUAGCUGGUAAGCCACAGCCACGUAGUGAUAUAUAGAUUAAUAGAAAUGGGUUAAAUUAAUACAUAAGAGUUAGCCAAUAAGAAGCUAGAACUAAUGAGCCAAGCAGUGCUUUAAUUAAUAGAGUUUCUGUGUGAUUAUUUCAGUUCUGGGUGGUUAGGAUGAACAAGUGGCCUCCCUCUUACAUUCAUCAAAGUAUAAUUUAUAUGGAGUAAAAUGCACAGCUGGUGUUUUGCUCUUAACAUUUACUUAUAGACAUGCACACAUUCCCAACACCCACAUGGAUGUAUAGAACUCAC
This is a long non-coding RNA of Alexandromys fortis (reed vole), 1347 nucleotides long. RefSeq lists it as uncharacterized. The record is from RefSeq and is a predicted model, not a curated record. The transcript is spliced from 3 exons. NCBI's taxonomy places the organism in Eukaryota, Metazoa, Chordata, Mammalia, Rodentia, Cricetidae.